RNAcentral lists this ribosomal RNA (95 nucleotides) under uncultured marine bacterium. RNAcentral's name for it is "partial small subunit ribosomal RNA". It matches the Rfam family "Bacterial small subunit ribosomal RNA", at positions 960 to 1054 of the family's 1533-position model. The record is from RNAcentral.
CGCGCAAAACCUUACCAGGCCUUGACAUCCAGAGAACUUACCAGAGAUGGUUUGGUGCCUUCGGGAACUCUGUGACAGGUGCUGCAUGGCUGUCG